GACGAACGCUGGAGGCGUGCUUAACACAUGCAAGUCGAACGAUGAAAUGGAGCUUGCUCCUUGGAUUAGUGGCGAACGGGUGAGUAACACGUGAAUAACCUGCCCUUAAUUUUGGAAUAACCCAGGGAAACCUGGGCUAAUACCGGAUAAGUAAACCUGUGGCAUCACAUGGUUUUGGAAAGUUUUUCGAUUAAGGAUGGAUUCGCGGCCUAUCAGCUUGUUGGUGAGGUAAUGGCUCACACAGGCGACGACGGGUAGCCGGCAUGAGAGGGUGAAGGGCCACACUGGGACUGAGACACGGCCCAGACUCCUACGGGAGGCAGCAGUGGUGAAUAUUGCGCAAUGGACGAAAGUCUGACGCAGCGACGCCUCGUGAGGGACGAAGGUCUUCGGAUUGUAAACCUCUUUCAGCAGGGACGAAGCGAAAGUGACGGUACCUGCAGAAGAAGCACCGGCUAACUAUGUGCCAGCCGCCGCCGUAA
This 482-nucleotide ribosomal RNA is filed under the name uncultured bacterium. RNAcentral describes it as "partial 16S ribosomal RNA". It matches the Rfam family "Bacterial small subunit ribosomal RNA", at positions 28 to 523 of the family's 1533-position model. The record is from RNAcentral.